Perognathus longimembris pacificus (Pacific pocket mouse) is the source of this 403-nucleotide long non-coding RNA. RefSeq lists it as uncharacterized. The transcript is spliced from 3 exons. Lineage: Eukaryota; Metazoa; Chordata; Mammalia; Rodentia; Heteromyidae. The record is from RefSeq and is a predicted model, not a curated record.
GAUUUCUAAAUAUAACAAAGUAGUUCUUUUACAGAAAAAAAGGAUAUGAUUUUCAUAUUUAUUCUUACAAAGCAUUAAAAACAUAAUUGACAGAAACAACUGAUAAAAAGUAAAUAGAAACAUGAUUUAAUAUAGUUGGAUAAUGUAUUAAUACAAAUGGGAAUACCCAAAUCCUUUGCUAUAUCAGGUUUUAAUCCUGUUUUCAUUAGGAACCCUGGGUGGCACUUUGGAGAUGUUGGAGACCUGUCAUAAUGCAGUGAAUAAAUGUAAUUUGCUCUAAAUAAUAUAAGACAUAGAAAUCUAUAUUAUAGGAUUACUAUGGCUGCCAGAAUCACACAUACGGAAAAAAAAAAAAAUCGUAUUGUCUCUGUGUGUCAGCAUGGCUUUCCUGCAGUAGGGAAUG